RNAcentral lists this long non-coding RNA (208 nucleotides) under Nicotiana benthamiana. RNAcentral's name for it is "long non-coding RNA (NBEN_LNC040631)". The record is from RNAcentral. Lineage: Eukaryota; Viridiplantae; Streptophyta; Magnoliopsida; Solanales; Solanaceae.
ACCGAACAUUUUUUUCAAAGAAAAUGCCAUACUAAUUAGAAUUAUGCAAACUAAAAAACACAAAAAUAUAUUAUUAGCACGUAAGAGUUGAAAUGAGUUUACCGGAUUGCCGAACAACUUCUUGAAAAUUGAAAAUCGUUGAACUUGAACACUUGUAAACUUCAAUUCAACAACUUCACAAUUUUUCACGAAUUUUCAACAUUAAAUU